RNAcentral lists this transfer RNA (72 nucleotides) under Jatropha curcas. It matches the Rfam family "tRNA". From Rfam's summary of the family: Transfer RNA (tRNA) molecules are approximately 80 nucleotides in length. Their secondary structure includes four short double-helical elements and three loops (D, anti-codon, and T loops). The record is from Rfam by way of RNAcentral. Lineage: Eukaryota; Viridiplantae; Streptophyta; Magnoliopsida; Malpighiales; Euphorbiaceae.
AAAGUGGUAGUUUAAUUGGCAAAACGAAAUGCUACGGACAUUUUGACAUGAGUUCGAGUCUUAUCCACUUUA